Cercocebus atys (sooty mangabey) is the source of this 565-nucleotide long non-coding RNA. RefSeq lists it as uncharacterized. The transcript has 3 exons. NCBI's taxonomy places the organism in Eukaryota, Metazoa, Chordata, Mammalia, Primates, Cercopithecidae. The record is from RefSeq and is a predicted model, not a curated record.
GCCGCGGUCACCUGGAGAGCCGAGCAGCGCGAGCACCGCCCACCUGGAAAGAUUCAACUAUCCUUAACAUGUAUUUGCCUCUCAUGGGAAGAUCGAGAAAAACUAAACAAAAAGACAUUUUACACCAUUUGCUUUGUUAUUUGCUCACUCUCUCUCCGGAUCCAAAGAAAAACAAGAGGGUUCUUUUUGCCUUCUACUCCUCAAAACACACCAGGAGCUCAGCAAUUGGAGGGGAGGCUGAAGGACAAAAACAUUGAUACCUCAUAGAGCAACGGUAUAAGAGCCAAUAGAGACUGCUGACCCUGGAAGUCAAGGAUCCGAAAGAAGGCGCCCAAUCAUUUGGUUUCAUUCGAUCGUUAUUCAGUCUUCUAUCAUCAUAGUUCUACCCUCCUACUCGGAUGCCUACCGUGGGGCCCUUACCAUUGCUCUCCUCUGCCUGGAAUGCCCGCCUCUUCUUGCACUCAAGCCCCUGUUCUAUUCAGAAAUUAGAAAAAAGUUACCUCCAUAGGCAGAGAAUUCAACUGUGAGUUGACAAUUAUUUACGAUUGUCUUAACUGGCUGUUUC